GGUCGGGUAGCUCAGUCGGUAGAGCAGCGGAUUGAAAAUCCGCGUGUCGACGGUUCGAUUCCGCCCCCGACCACCA
Molecule: transfer RNA, 76 nt
Filed under: Sutterella sp. CAG:351
Lineage: Bacteria; Pseudomonadati; Pseudomonadota; Betaproteobacteria; Burkholderiales; Sutterellaceae
Also listed under: 7 other names
Description: transfer RNA-Phe(GAA)
Rfam family: tRNA
About the family: Transfer RNA (tRNA) molecules are approximately 80 nucleotides in length. Their secondary structure includes four short double-helical elements and three loops (D, anti-codon, and T loops).
Source: RNAcentral